This is a long non-coding RNA of Cygnus olor (mute swan), 932 nucleotides long. RefSeq lists it as uncharacterized. Lineage: Eukaryota; Metazoa; Chordata; Aves; Anseriformes; Anatidae. The transcript has 2 exons. The record is from RefSeq and is a predicted model, not a curated record.
UUAUUGCCGUAACUGGAAGCAGCUUGUGGAAGGAGAGCCAAGCAGAGUGUCCCAAUUAAAGUCAUAAUUCACUCCACAGGUCUGAUGGGUUUGCGUCAGGAUUACGAAGGCAAAACCAAGACAGUUACAAAUCCAUGAAGUAACAGCAGGCUGAUAAAAAAGAACGAGGGAGGAGGAUCACAUUCCUCGCAGCUAGGUUACCAGCUGAUAACCAUUGGACAAUGUUUCUCUGUUCUUAUGGAAAUCACAUACAUUUACAUAGCUAUUUUUGGCAAAUAUAUGAAAAUGGAGACUUUACUCCCCUGCAUCAACAGCAAAAUCAGAAAUUCCUCCUAAGUUUCUGGGACAUUCCCCUGUACUCAUUCUGCUAUGGGAUGACCCUCCAUGGAUGCACCUGCACAUAGGGCACCUCCAAGGGCUUCCAGGGAAGGACCUUGAAAAUGAAUGUGACCCUUUGCUCCAACUGGAGAGAUGGGCUGAACUCCCAAGCAUAAGAUGUCUUGUUUUCUCUUGACUGUAUUUCCCGUUUGACUCCAUUUUUUAUUGAUUUUAUUUCUAACCAGAAAAUCCCCUAUACUGACUCCCCUUGUGCACUUAAGAUGCACAUAAAAAUGUGCAUGUACUUAAGAGCUCUUGGCCAUGUCAGUUCUGUAUUCCAAGAGGGACCUUGGAUCAGUUCUCACAUCCCAACUCAGCCACGUCCAGUCAGCCACGUUUUGUCAGCUGCAAAGACAGGAUGAUUUUCAGGUAAUGUUUCCAGUGAUGCUUCACACAUGCUUUUAAGAAACUAAACCUGAAGUCUGGGAUCAACAUUACAAAUCUGUGUUCAAAUUUUACACCAUUAGUCUAUCUGGACAGCAGGAACAUCAUGCUGGUGCCAUCGAUCCUUGUCCUCACCCCUUGAAUCUCUACAAUAAAUCACCCACAAGUCU